This 20-nucleotide non-coding RNA is filed under the name Mus musculus (house mouse). The record is from RNAcentral. Lineage: Eukaryota; Metazoa; Chordata; Mammalia; Rodentia; Muridae.
UGCUGAGAAAGUUCUGUUCC